GGGGGUUCCAGCAGCCGCGGUAAUACGGGGGGGCAAGCGUUAUUCGGAAUUAUUGGGCGUAAAGGGCGCGCAGGCGGUUUUGUAAGUCAGGUGUGAAAGCCCGGGGCUCAACCCCGGAAGUGCACUUGAAACAGCAAGACUUGAAUAUGGGAGAGGGGAGAGGAAUUCCUGGUGUAGAGGUGAAAUUCGUAGAUAUCAGGAGGAACACCGAUGGCGAAGGCGUCUCUCUGGACCGAUAUUGACGCUGAGGCGCGAAAGCGUGGGUAGCGAACGGGAUUAGAUACCCCGGUAGUCCCCGCC
This 300-nucleotide ribosomal RNA is filed under the name uncultured bacterium. RNAcentral describes it as "bacterial SSU rRNA". It matches the Rfam family "Bacterial small subunit ribosomal RNA", at positions 495 to 801 of the family's 1533-position model. The record is from RNAcentral.